RNAcentral lists this ribosomal RNA (254 nucleotides) under uncultured prokaryote. Its description in RNAcentral is "partial 16S ribosomal RNA". It matches the Rfam family "Bacterial small subunit ribosomal RNA", at positions 524 to 777 of the family's 1533-position model. The record is from RNAcentral.
UACGGAGGAUGCGAGCGUUAUCCGGAUUUAUUGGGUUUAAAGGGUGCGUAGGUGGAUUGGUAAGUCAGUGGUGAAAGUUUGCAGCUUAACUGUAAAAUUGCCGUUGAAACUGCCGGUCUUGAGUGCAAAUGAGGUAGGCGGAAUGUGUCGUGUAGCGGUGAAAUGCAUAGAUAUGACACAGAACACCGAUUGCGAAGGCAGCUUACUGGGAUGCAACUGACACUGAUGCACGAAAGCGUGGGUAUCAAACAGGA